GCCUCAGAAUGUAUUUACGGAAUCAUCACUGUUCUUCUGCCAGAGAAGGACACAUUUUAAUAAAAAAAAAAGCAGUUGAUUCAUUCUAUGGGCCCUGUGGUGCUUUCAUCAGACGUUUUAUUUUGUUCAUAUCAGUGACCCCAGGAAAACAAAUGAUAGGGAAAUUUCUUUUUUAUUUUUAAGAUUAUAAUAUAGUGACAUUUCUUGCUUCCUUUUCUUUUCAUCAAAAUGUUCCAUACAGGCCUCCCCUACUUCCUGCUUUUUUAAAUUCAUGACUGUUUUUUCCCAUUAAUUUUCAUUGCAUUCAUAUAUGUAGAAUAAGACAUAUUCUUAAAUAUCACCUGUUCAGCCUGUAUUAUGCCACUUGUAUGUAUGUGUUCAGGGAUGACCAUUUGAUCUGGUAACCAGUUGGUGUGUUCUUCAAUGGGGAAGAACAUUUCUUUGACUUUAAGCAUUGCUUAAUUAGAUGUGGCAUUAUUUUCUCAGGUCACAGAACCAGCUCAAGUAACUAUAAUAAAGGUUUCUGGAUCCUGUCUUCCCAGAAUCCACAUCCUCUUGUUGGGUGAAAUCCAGGCUCGAAGUUUUGGAAUCAUCCAUCACUGCUUGAGUCAUGAUGACCCAGGAAUCCCCAGAUCCAUAUUAACAAGCCUGGCUCGAUAACACACUUGGAAUCCCAUUGCUGGUGCAGAGCGUGUAAAGGAAUUUAUCUCCAAUGGAAACAUGAAUUCCUACUACUUUCACUGUAAGGAGAUUGACUCUACAGUUUUGCUGACAUUCUCAGAAGCUCCAGUUUUUGUGAGAUGGCAUAAGGUUCCCUCAUGGCAUUGGAAGGAGCCUCAGAGAUUUGCUUUUCUUUGCCUACCUAGCUCUGGAAUGAUGAGUCUGCCCUACCACUCAGCAGCUUUCCAUGUGUUCUGGAGGUCAAACAGGUUCUCGUGCCUGCAAGCAGACUAUUUCUAAGCUGAGCUGCCUAUCAGG
This is a non-coding RNA of Cricetulus griseus (Chinese hamster), 978 nucleotides long. Lineage: Eukaryota; Metazoa; Chordata; Mammalia; Rodentia; Cricetidae. The record is from RefSeq and is a predicted model, not a curated record.